This 324-nucleotide ribosomal RNA is filed under the name uncultured eukaryote. RNAcentral's name for it is "partial 18S ribosomal RNA". It matches the Rfam family "Eukaryotic small subunit ribosomal RNA", at positions 1470 to 1796 of the family's 1831-position model. The record is from RNAcentral.
CCCUUAGAUGUUCUGGGCUGCACGCGCGCUACACUGAAGCUAUCAACACGUUUUCCCUCCCUGAGAAGGGCGGGUAACCUUUUGAAUCAGCUUCGUGGUAGGGAUCGGGGCUUGCAAUUGUUCCCCGUGAACCAGGAAUUCCUAGUAGACGCGAGUCAUAAGCUCGCAUCGAUUAAGUCCCUGCCCUUUGUACACACCGCCCAUCGCUACUACCGAUUGAACGUUUUAGUGAGGCAUUUGGACCGACGCAUCUCAGUUUAACCGCUGGUUUGUGUUGGAAAGACUUCCAAACUUGAGCGUUUAGAGGAAGUAAAAGUCGUAACA